UUAAUUCUUUCCACUGUCAUUUUCUAGACAUUGACGCCUGUCUGUCCAAUCCGUGUGAUGGGAACGCCAUGUGUACAGACAACCCCGCCCCUGCACUUGACGCCACUUGUACCUGUAACGCUGGAUAUGAGGGAGACGGAACUUCGUGUUCAGACAUUAACGCCUGCCUGGUCGAUCCGUGUGAUGUGAACGCCGUGUGUACAGACAACCCCGCCCCUGCACUUGACGCCACUUGUGCCUGUAACGCUGGAUUUGAGGGAGACGGAACUUCGUGUUCAGAUGUCGACGAAUGCGCCAGUAACAACGGUGGGUGUGCACACACGUGCACAAACAACGUCGGAAGCUUCAGCUGCUCUUGCCGGGCCGGCUACGUGUUGAAUAAUGAUGGUUUUGCCUGCGACGGUAAGUUUGGGCUAC
Molecule: long non-coding RNA, 417 nt
Organism: Branchiostoma belcheri (Belcher's lancelet)
Lineage: Eukaryota; Metazoa; Chordata; Leptocardii; Amphioxiformes; Branchiostomatidae
Exons: 3
Source: RefSeq, a predicted model, not a curated record